This is a long non-coding RNA of Rosa chinensis, 755 nucleotides long. RefSeq lists it as uncharacterized. The transcript is spliced from 2 exons. The record is from RefSeq and is a predicted model, not a curated record. NCBI's taxonomy places the organism in Eukaryota, Viridiplantae, Streptophyta, Magnoliopsida, Rosales, Rosaceae.
CCUGUUUCCAAUGCCGGUCAAACACUUGACCUGGAAUAUGGGUUUCCUAUUCAAGUUGAACCACACAUUCAAAGUACUCCAACAAAUGUCAACUUGGACCACCACUGUCCCAGAAAAAAAUAGAUCUGGAGAACCCAGCAGAUGACAUCGGCAAACUCGUCGUCAAAAUCGACAAAUUAAUCUGGUUCCCUAUUCACUUCUCUGCUAUUCUCUUGUCUUAUCGCUCCGAUCGACCAAGGAAUUUCUCUAGGUGUUACAGAUGCGUUAUGUACUGUGUUGAAGCUUAAUUCGCCAGCUCUGUCGACCUAUGUGGUGGAAAUUAAAAUGAUAUUGUGAUCGAUCAAGAGGAAGGAAGUGGCGCCCCUUGAAUGAAAGAUGUGAACAAGGUGAGUGCUCGCUCUGGUUGGUAGCUUGGAACCUCAUGGCCUGCUCCCCUUACUGUGGCAAAUACCAACCCCUCGUAACUAAUCACAUAUCCUCCAACCUCGCCGGUGCUAGAGUACCAUGGCCGAAAUGGAGUCUCAGUCUUUAAGUUCAGCGUGUUAAUGGCGUAUCUUGUAGUUGUCACUGCUACUAUCGAAUCAACAUCUCCACUGCACACAAAAACAAACACAAUCCAUACGCCGAACAUCACUAUGAGUAUACAUAUGUAACCCUUAUUUUUUGCCUUAAUAAUGAAAAAAUCAUAAAGAAAAAAAAAUAUUUGAUCAAGUUAUGUGCUGACCUAUAUAUCCAUAAUCUGAUUCCACUUGCUA